UUCUCGACUUCACUCUCGAACCGUGGAGGCAUUGAUGUGUUUACAAAAUUGGAUGAUUGAUGAUGUCAAAGGUGAAUUGGAUGACACAAGUGCUUGUUCCACAGUUAAUGAAGAUUAUGAUGAAGAUGGAGAAGAACAAAUUGAUAUUAUUGAUAUGGAUGUCGAUGAUGUUGAAAGUAGCUGUGCCAUGGAUGAUGACUUUUAUUCGUAGGAAAUGUAAUUUGGAUUGGGGAAGACUUGUUCUCGUAGACUCAUGCAUUGAGAUUUGUUUAUUU
Molecule: long non-coding RNA, 275 nt
Organism: Salvia miltiorrhiza (redroot sage)
Lineage: Eukaryota; Viridiplantae; Streptophyta; Magnoliopsida; Lamiales; Lamiaceae
Exons: 3
Source: RefSeq, a predicted model, not a curated record